Molecule: long non-coding RNA, 5217 nt
Organism: Columba livia (rock pigeon)
Lineage: Eukaryota; Metazoa; Chordata; Aves; Columbiformes; Columbidae
Exons: 4
Source: RefSeq, a predicted model, not a curated record
UUAAGAUUUGACCAGAAUCAAAUUCACCUCUUUUGUCACAUAUUAAAAUAAAUUGUUUUCAUAUUGACUGUUAAGAAGUCAGUCUGUGUAUGAGCUGGAUAAAUAAAUCAUAUUCAUACAGCCCACUCACUGAAAGGAAAUUACUCUCAGGUCCUGCUGUUGUCAGUGUCCAGCCCACUCUUCUUAGGCUGUAUAUUUAUGUCUACUCCAGAGAUCAAACAUAGUUUUAAUUCUUAAAAGGGGCUACACAGGAGAUGUGCUCAGCCAUGCUCAGGGAUUGGCGUCAGAUGCAGUCAGAACAAGAACAAUGGGGCUCUUUCCAGGAAUCACGAGGAAGGCUUUGUUUGGAUUAUCCCUUGGUACACCGAUUACCAUUGCGCAGCAUCAUAAACGGGGGACAAUGAGGAACUGAAGGGAAUUCCCAGAAGCUGCAGAAACAGGCAUUCCACCAUGGUACACGUAAUUAGUGCAGCUCGCCUAUGACUAGAAACUCCACAGAGUCAUACCCAGCUUCUCUCUUUAUUUUUGCAAAUCAUGAAAGAAACCAAUCCUACAGAUAAAGUUGGAAGCUUUGAAAUACAGUAUCCAACUCAUAUGUGGAUUUUGCUAUUGCUAUUACUGUUGAUCCUGAGAUCACUACAUCUAAUAUUUCUUAGGAUCAGGGACUGAAACAUAUUUGUUAUUAUUAAAAACAAACAUUCAAGUACGAAACAGAAAUUUAAUAGAAAAGAUGACCAUUAAUAACACCUGUUCAGUUUCCUGUACUAGAAGAGGGGUAGUUUUGGCACAUACUGCACAUUCAGCAGGUCUAGAAAGAAAUCUCUGGGGGCAGCAGCUGUCCUUCUAUUAUGUGAUUGCACCAACUAUCAAAGUGAAUAUGCACUACUCAUUCACAAACAUAGAUGUUAUUACAAUUAAACAAACAAGUAGUAAUGGUGACAAAAGUUUAGAAAGAUUAUUUUUGAAAGAUUCUUCAGAAGACUAAUUGCAAAAGACCCUGCAGCAAACACACACAAUUUGUAAGAUAUUUAGAAACAAUCUGGUAUUAAUAGUUUUUGGCUGAUAUUAAGGAUUUCUCCCCUAAGAUUCAAAGUGGUAUCAUCACUUAGCCAGAAGAUGCAUCAGAACUGUUCUAAUGAAAUUAACUUUCUUCAAGACAGAAGUUUACAACUGAAAGAGCCAGUCCACAAUUCCCUUUCAGGAAAGAAGAAACAGUAAUAACAUUUAACUAAUUUAAUUUUGAUAUCAAGUUUUGUAAGGGUUUUAUAAUGUAAUAAUACAGAAGAAAUCAAAUCUCAGAACUAAGAUCUACUACUUGACAGGUUAUACACGAUUUUAAAAUAGCAUCACAGAAAUAGGACAUUAUUCUUUCUAAUGAAUAGUCCCAACAUGAAUUAAGUAAUUAAGUGCAGAUUGCACAGCCAACAAAAAAACCAACAAAUUCUGUUAAUGAAAUUGUUGUGUUCAAGAAAUCCUCUGGCAUGUUGAUUGUUCUAAACCCAAAGUGAUGUUUCAAAAGCAAUUACAGCAGUCAGUUCUUUAUUUUCCUGCUGCACAUCAAUUCAAAGCAACGUGCUGAAAGUCAAUCAGUUGCACGGUAAUUUCUUCAUCUGUUGUCAGUGGCAAAAAGGCAACAAAUGCUCUCCACCACAAACAGUUAAAUCACUAACUCUUUAACAGCAUACUCUUCAAAGAGUAACACUUUGGAGGCUUUUAUCUCACCAAAGAUAUUUUCAACAAAAAACAGAUUUACCAAUGGGAGCUGAAUGCACAGAUACCAGAAGAUACACAGAAAAAUGGCUACUGACAUGCUGCAAUUUGAUCUCUCAAGCAUUGUUCGGUGGGUUCUGUACAUAUAGGAGGCUGCAGUUCUCCUCCACAAGCACUGUGCAGUGCCAUGUGCUCAUGCCUGGCCAUGACUGGAGUGCACUAACACAACUGUACAACCCCAUGCCCACUCUUACACCAACAAUUCAGAACAAGAUAUGAGGCAACCAACUACAGCAGAUUUCAUGUCCCUAUGAAACACUGAAUACCAGAGAUAUCCAAACUUUAUACUUACAUAUCUAACUGUACAGAGUUGGUCUUGGAAGACCACCACAUGAGGUAAAGUAAAAGCAAGGAACCAUGGCCUAACAUCUAGUUUCUGUGACCUAUUAUUUGCCAACUGAGUCAAAAAGAAGCCUUAUGGUUUCAAAACAGCUGCUUUGGGAGAUAAGAAUAAAAAUGAAAAGGGAAAAGGCAAAAGACCAGACAGAUGGUUUCCAAUUCUUUUAAAAUCAUUCUGUAAUUGUCAAAAAUUCUUUUAAAAUCAUUCUUUCUGAGUCAAAUGAUUCGGUUCUGAUUUCAACUUAGAAUUUCUCUUUUUUUAGCUGCGCACUUAGAUCAGGAAGGGAUUGUUCGGACAUGCUUGAGUCAGAGCCUAACAGGGCCUCCUUAGCACAAAAUACCCUUAAACGAGGGAUUAGUCCCAUGAUAUGUGUCUGGAUUUAUAUGUAGAAGCAAUUCAGACUGGCCCACAUAUAAUUCUUUGACCCAUAUUCAUAGUUCUACAGGCAGAGGAGAAAUAGUAUGACUACUAGGAGGAAAAAUUGUUAAGUGUCUCAUACUUCCUUAAUAAAAUCUGAUUUACGAAAACUGUUUCCCUGAAAAUAAACAACAGAAGAUAGAAGAUUUACUACUCAAUGUUCACACCAUCUUUUCAGCCUAUGAAUUACCUGAAAAGCUGCCAGCUUUUCAACAAAAAUCAGAUCACACUCUCUCUGUGCUAUUUCUUUGAACACACUGUUGGUUUUCCCAGUAACAAACACGUAUCUCCCCAGUUAAAUAUUCGGAGCCGUUUGCUGCAGCUCUGGCUGUAACUCUGGCAGACUUCCAGGGCUAUCUAUUCAGCAAGUUUCAAAGCAACCCAGAGUCAGCCGGCAGUUUGAGAAGUUCUCAGUCCCUCCUUGGGCUCACACAUUGGCCUCAAACGGUUCUACAAAUAUAAACAAAAUAGCAAUUUUUUCCAGUGUGCUUCUGGAGCAUGCUUUCCACUUUAAUUUUGUUUGUGAGGCAUUGGCUGCUCUGCAAUGUGAGCCAUUGCACAGGUAGGGUGAACAACAGGGAGAUUCACUUCAAAACUGCACUCCUGAUAUAAAGCAAAGACCUAGUGAAGAUGCACUGUCUUUCUAUCUUAUUAGAGAGACUUAAAUACUUAGAGCAAGUUUUUCUGUUAGAGUUGAGACUAAAUGUGGAUUUUAACUUGCAAAUUCAGAAAAGGUGAAAAAUCACAUAAGACAUGGGCUGUCAUUCAGGUCACAGACCAGCCAGACAACCAGUUUAAACACUUUUCUGAAGAUAAGAUUUCAAAGAAAUCUCCAGGACUGCCACAUGGCUAAGUCAGGGACAACCUCGCUACAGAAAGGCAGCAGAGCAUGGCAACAACCAUUUUAAAAAAUAGGGAUAUUGGCAUAGAUAGGUAAAAUCCUACCUUCCCACAAUAAACUUUUGCUUUACUGUAUUUGAAGUAUGAAAUUUUCUCCUCUCUCUUGAGUGCAGUUUUAUAUUUGCAGGGACUUUUGAAACUCCCAUCAACUGAUCAAAACACUGAGAUUCUAUUUUUACAAUAUACAACAGAUGACCUAUUUUUAUGACAUGGACCAAAACAAGAAGCUGAACAGCAGCAAAGUACAUAUUUUGAUAUUUCAAAGACUGGGUGAUAUUUACUCUAAGUUUUGUGUGUUUUGUCUAAUUGUUAGCAACGAAACUGCAAAUACGCACUUUACAUUUAGUGAGACUUGGGUAUGUUACAUCAUUAAAUCAAAGACUCCAUAGUUCAUUCUCUAGUCUUAGUCUUUAAGUGUGAAUAAGUUGGAAACAAAUUGUAUUCCUUAAAAACACAAGUAGACCUUUAAGAUAUUUAUUUACAACAGUUAAGUAUAUUAAAAUGUCACUCUUUAAAGUCUUGUUAAUUCUACUGCAUUUCUAAGUUACUGGCAUUAUACUUACUAUGGCCAGGAUAAAAAUCCUUUAUCAGCUGGAAGUAAAACAGUCUGCCACCUAAUAUGCAUUCAUUUUAAAGAUCUCCCAAACAGAAACAGUCAGAUCCUGUCAACACCUCCAACUGUACUGUGUUUUCAUGUCCUGGGAAAGCUCCAUCUAUUUCUAUCAGCAUAUAGCAACUGUUUUUCUGCAGUGCAAUCUAUUUGUGUUGUUCCUCAUCUGCACAAUGAACAGAAAUUACUAUUCAGUUUCCUGCAUAUUUAAAGACAAGGAGUUUCUAUGCAAUCUUAAGCAAUAGAUCAACCAAUAUACUUUAAAAUUAAGCAUAUUCAUCCAUUUCUAACAACCAUUUGAGUUUUAACUAAUUUCAUAGCGAAUGUAAUAAAUUAAAACUUUCUAAGUGAAAGGUUGUGUGCUGUCUGAAAAGACCUCUUGGAUUACUACUUUGUAUUCAUAGUUCUCUCAGAGGCUUUGCAUCAUGCAUCUCACAUGCUGAGACUUUUUUUUUCCUUGGUAGUUAAAUUUGAUCCAAAAAUCUCAAUUCACAAAACAUUGUGGUCAGCAUUGCAAGACUGAGCAAUACAGACAAGGUUUCUUAAAUAGAGCAGGUCACGUUAAGCAGGACUUCUGAUUUUGUACAUGAACACAUGCAGUUAACUAGCAGAUCCUGGAUUGCCCAACCACUCCUUCUGCAAGAGCAAACACAGAAUCAUAUUCAUUUUUGUAGAUGCCGUACUGUAAGUUUCCGUUUGUUUUUUUAAGUGUUAUACAAUUAAAAAUUCUAGUGGCUUGGAAAACCCCUUAACUCAUCAAAACUUCAGCUUCCAUUCUAAAAAUUAAUCCAGCCAACUUUGUUUGAUUUUCUGUUCUAAAUGUAUUGAUUUUCUACUAAAAAGAAAAUCUAAUUACACUGUAUUUUAAUCUCUAAACAAAAGACCAGCACUGCAAUGCAAAUAUUUUAGGUGUAAAAGCUAACCAGAAUAAUCUGAUUUUAAUCUUGAUGCUUGAAGCCCACACAUUAAAAAUAAAAUAAAAUAAAUAAAUAAAUAUAAACCAGACUUUUAAAAACUUAAUACUUUGUGUAGAAAUGGCCUUUUCUUUUUAAAUGACAGAAAAUAAUCUUUUUUUCAGAAAAGUAAUUUACAAUAGCCAAGUUCUUGGAACUCGAGAGGCACAUUUAAAACUGCUGUCCAAGCUUUCACCACUUCAAGCUUCAUUUUAUUGCAAACCACA